UACGAAGGGGACUAGCGUUGUUCGGAAUUACUGGGAGUAAAGCACACGUAGGCGGACUGUUAAGUCAGGGGUGAAAUCCCGGGGCUCAACCCCGGAACUGCCUUUGAUACUGUCAGUCUCGAGUUCGAGAGAGGUGAGUGGAAUUCCGAGUGUAGAGGUGAAAUACGUAGAUAUUCGGAGGAACACCAGAUGCGAAGGAGUCUCACGGGUAUGAUUUUGACGCUGAGGUGCGAAAGCGUGGGGAGCAAACAGG
This 253-nucleotide ribosomal RNA is filed under the name uncultured bacterium. RNAcentral describes it as "partial 16S ribosomal RNA". It matches the Rfam family "Bacterial small subunit ribosomal RNA", at positions 524 to 776 of the family's 1533-position model. The record is from RNAcentral.